UCUAAAAUGGCAGAUUAGUGCAUUGGACUUAAGCCCCAAAAAUAAAAUUUACAUUUUUUUUAGAA
Molecule: transfer RNA, 65 nt
Filed under: Curculionoidea sp. 14 KM-2017
Lineage: Eukaryota; Metazoa; Arthropoda; Insecta; Coleoptera
Description: tRNA-Leu
Rfam family: tRNA
About the family: Transfer RNA (tRNA) molecules are approximately 80 nucleotides in length. Their secondary structure includes four short double-helical elements and three loops (D, anti-codon, and T loops).
Source: RNAcentral